RNAcentral lists this ribosomal RNA (197 nucleotides) under uncultured bacterium. Its description in RNAcentral is "partial 16S ribosomal RNA". It matches the Rfam family "Bacterial small subunit ribosomal RNA", at positions 328 to 539 of the family's 1533-position model. The record is from RNAcentral.
ACGCUCGACACCUACGGGGGCAGCAGUGGGGAAUAUUGCACAAUGGGGGAAACCCUGAUGCAGCAACGCCGCGUGAAGGAAGACGGUUUUCGGAUUGUAAACUUCUGUUCUUAGUGAAGAUAGUGACGGUAGCUAAGGAGCAAGCCACGGCUAACUACGUGCCCGCAGCCGCGGUAAUCUGAGCGGGCUGGCAAGGC